RNAcentral lists this ribosomal RNA (444 nucleotides) under uncultured bacterium. RNAcentral's name for it is "SSU rRNA". It matches the Rfam family "Bacterial small subunit ribosomal RNA", at positions 26 to 518 of the family's 1533-position model. The record is from RNAcentral.
AGAGCGAACGCUGGCGGCAGGCCUAACACAUGCAAGUCGAGCGCCGUAGCAAUACGGAGCGGCAGACGGGAGAGUAACACGUGGGAACGUGCCCUUCAGUUCGGAACAACCCAGGGAAACUUGGGCUAAUACCGGAUACGUCCGUAAGGAGAAAGAUUUAUCGCUGAAGGAUCGGCCCGCGUCUGAUUAGCUAGUUGGUGAGGUAACGGCUCACCAAGGCGACGAUCAGUAGCUGGUCUGAGAGGAUGAUCAGCCUCACUGGGACUGAGACACGGCCCAGACUCCUACGGGAGGCAGCAGUGGGGAAUAUUGGACAAUGGGCGCAAGCCUGAUCCAGCCAUGCCGCGUGGGUGAUGAAGGCCCUAGGGUUGUAAAGCCCUUUCGGCGGGAAGAUAAUGACGGUACCCGCAGAAGAAGCCCGGCUAACUUCGUGCCAGCAGCCGC